UACGUAGGGGGCGAGCGUUGUCCGGAUUUAUUGGGCGUAAAGAGCUCGUAGGCGGUUUGGCAAGUCGGGUGUGAAAACUCCGGGCUCAACUCGGAGACGCCACUCGAUACUGCUAUGACUCGAGUCCGGUAGGGGAGUGCGGAAUUCCUGGUGUAGCGGUGAAAUGCGCAGAUAUCAGGAGGAACACCGGUGGCGAAGGCGGUUCUCUGGGCCUUACCUGACGCUGAGGAGCGAAAGCGUGGGGAGCGAACAGG
RNAcentral lists this ribosomal RNA (254 nucleotides) under uncultured bacterium. RNAcentral describes it as "partial 16S ribosomal RNA". It matches the Rfam family "Bacterial small subunit ribosomal RNA", at positions 524 to 776 of the family's 1533-position model. The record is from RNAcentral.